This 29-nucleotide non-coding RNA is filed under the name Homo sapiens (human). The record is from RNAcentral. Lineage: Eukaryota; Metazoa; Chordata; Mammalia; Primates; Hominidae.
UCCAGGUGGACCGACCAUGGACUGAUGGA